AUACUUACCUGGGUGGGGCUUUUGGGUGAUCAAAAAGGCCCAUGGCCUAGGCUAAUGGCGUCCAUUGCACUCAGGAGGAGUGUUGGCCUAGCAUCUCCUCAAGUAGGAGAGUGCACGUCGUAAUUUGUGGAAGAGGGGGUACGCGUUCGCGCGGCCCCUG
Molecule: small nuclear RNA, 160 nt
Organism: Magnolia sinica
Lineage: Eukaryota; Viridiplantae; Streptophyta; Magnoliopsida; Magnoliales; Magnoliaceae
Product: U1 spliceosomal RNA
Exons: 1
Source: RefSeq, a predicted model, not a curated record